Molecule: ribosomal RNA, 497 nt
Filed under: uncultured bacterium
Lineage: Bacteria
Description: partial 16S ribosomal RNA
Rfam family: Bacterial small subunit ribosomal RNA
Source: RNAcentral
GAUGAACGCUGGCGGCGUGCCUAAUACAUGCAAGUCGAGCGAACAGAUGAGGAGCUUGCUCCUCUGACGUUAGCGGCGGACGGGUGAGUAACACGUGGAUAACCCACCUAUAAGACUGGGAUAACUUCGGGAAACCGGAGCUAAUACCGGAUAAUAUAUUGAACCGCAUGGUUCAAUAGUGAAAGACGGUUUUGCUGUCACUUAUAGAUGGAUCCGCGCCGCAUUAGCUAGUUGGUAAGGUAACGGCUUACCAAGGCAACGAUGCGUAGCCGACCUGAGAGGGUGGUCGGCCACACUGGAACUGAGACACGGUCCAGACUCCUACGGGAGGCAGCAGUAGGGAAUCUUCCGCAAUGGGCGAAAGCCUGACGGAGCAACGCCGCGUGAGUGAUGAAGGUCUUCGGAUCGUAAAACUCUGUUAUUAGGGAAGAACAAAUGUGUAAGUAACUAUGCACGUCUUGACGGUACCUAAUCAGAAAGCCACGGCUAACUACGUG